Mesoplodon densirostris (Blainville's beaked whale) is the source of this 74-nucleotide small nucleolar RNA. RefSeq annotates it as small nucleolar RNA SNORD113/SNORD114 family. The record is from RefSeq and is a predicted model, not a curated record. The transcript has a single exon. NCBI's taxonomy places the organism in Eukaryota, Metazoa, Chordata, Mammalia, Artiodactyla, Ziphiidae.
UGGACCAAUGAUGACCAGUGGUAGUGUAUGAGUCAUGGAUGAUGGUACUCUGUGUCAAGAACUCUGAGGUCCAU